Molecule: unclassified non-coding RNA, 2176 nt
Filed under: Hevea brasiliensis (rubber tree)
Lineage: Eukaryota; Viridiplantae; Streptophyta; Magnoliopsida; Malpighiales; Euphorbiaceae
Source: RNAcentral
UAUCAAUUGAAUAUUUACCUUGCCAAAUUUCACAGAAAUAGAACAAAUGAGGAAUUUGAAUUGCCAAACUAACAGUAGUCAAUAAAUUGCAUUAGGAAUUCAAAUUCAUUAUUCCCAAAUGCAUAAAAAUUUUACGGUGUUACUAGUCAAUCAUGGAUGACAGAAUUCAAAAAUUUUUGAAACAUUUUUUUUUUUGGUUCUUAACUAGGCAAGUGGAUUGCCAGCAAGAAAUGCUUUAAAUAAUGCUAGUGAUCUCUUGGGCGAUGAUGAAGGUGACAUGUGAGACCCUCCUCUAAUAGUUGCAAACGUAAGGAUCUCUCCAUAUACUUGCGUCCAUCCGCCAACCUGUUUAUCUUGAAACCAAGGUCGAUAAGUCACAGUUGCAUUCAAUCCCAACUUCUUUGCCAAACCAUUUACCAAACUCCUUGACCCAGUAAAUGGAACAACUGAAUCUUGAUCUCCACUGUACACUAGAACUGAGAUGCCUGAACUGACCAAUGAGCCCACGACAUCAAUCAUAGGUAUUUCCAGGUUUUUCAUGUCAUAGUUCAAUACCCUGUAAUUAAGAAAGUAGAACAUCAAUAAACCAAAAAAACAAAGGUCGAAUCAACGUCUCUUUUAUCUGCUUUACAACUGCAUGAUUAAAUUAAGUGUAGGCAGAAAGGAGCUUUACAGGGAGAAUAGAGAUAAGAACAGAUUUCCGCAAAAGGAUUAUUAUUUUUUUCUCCUGGGGGAGAGGAAUGCUAGAGUGUGAAUCCUUGUAUGUAUAUAUGCUCAAAACAAUUUGUAAAGAUAUCUAAAAUAAGUUCUAAGGUUCAGAAUUAUUGAUUACGGGCUGCAGAAACUCCAAUUGCUAACUCCUACAAGCUGGGCAUGAAGAGCUUCUUGCACAUCCUUCCUGUUCAGAUACAUAAAAGUCUUUUCUUGUACACAAACAUCUAUAUUUUCUGCAGAUUUCUGCAUACAUACAAGCAAAAUGCAAUAAUAAGUUUGCUGCAGAAUUAAAACAGCUUGCAGAAUUGGUUAGAUAGCUUACAGCUUGAUUUGGACUUUCUCCCAAUGAUUCACUGAAUAAUGAAAAAUGAAACCUUGGUCUCAAGGGAUGAUUGUAGACUCUUAGUUGUGAUUGGCCAUACGAUACACAUACAUCGGCAGUGACAUCAUAGUUGUCGAUCGCGUCAGGAAUUUCUUUCGAAAGUUGAGCAUUCACAGCUUUACAAGCAACUGAAGAUGAGCCACUUAUGUGCUCUCUGACGCGCUGUGAAGUGUUGCAAAUUGCAGUGAUAAGUUUAUAAGUAGAAUCUGAUAUCAACCCAUGAGACCAGUAGUAAUCACCCUGAGAGUUCAAGUCUGUACUGAAAUCCAGCAGAGGAUUUCCUAAAGCUAUGCUUUUCAAAUUGAAUUUUAAUCCUGACAGGACAAUUAGCUUUGCAAGUUGUGGUACAUAGUGACCUGCAUAGCUUUCCCCAGCGAUAAACAAAUCUCUACUUUUAUACUCAGGAAACUUGACAAACCAAUUUUGCAGGAAUUUCAGGUUGUCUUGUGCUGUGAUAGUGUCGUUCACAGAGUUAUAAAAAGAUGUAUUAGCAGAAUAAGAAAAGCCAACCCCUGCUGGUGAUUCCAGGUAUAGUAUGUUUGCUUCUUUAUUCCAACUGUAUUCAUUUCUGAUCAGAUUUUCUCCACCACUAGGCCUGAAAGGUCCAUGCUCUGAGAAUGCUCCAGCACCAACAGAAGAACAACCAGGCCCUCCAGUUAACCAAAGAACGAGAGGCUUUGAAGCAGGUUCAGUUUCUGCUUCAACAAAGUAAUAGAAAAGAGCUCUCUGUUGUUUUUCAUCAAUGGCAAUGUACCCUGCAUAUUGCUGGAAACUCACCUGUGGUUGGCCUGGCAAACUCACUAUUUUAUCAUCUUCUUUGGAGGGUAAUCCUACUGCUCCACAUAUUUGCAUUAACAUUAUGCAAAUUACAGCUUUUAUGAUCAUCCAUAACUGAGAUUUCAUUUGGUUGUUAAGAGAAAGAGAGAGGAGGGAGGGAGGAAGGGGAGCUCUGUGCUUUUUUGCAAGCUAAGUUGUAUUGUAGCUAGGAUCAAUGCUUACAGAAAUUAUGAAGAAUAUGCUAGUGGAAACGGAAGACAUAUAUACCCAAUCUAUUUAUAAAUAUUAUAUUAUAUAAAAUCA